GACGAAGGUGGCGAGCGUUACUCGGAAUUACUAGGCGUAAAGCAUGGGCAGGUGGUUCGGCAAGUCUGUUGUGAAAGCUCCCGGCUUAACCGGGAGAGGUCAAUGGAAACUACCGGACUUGAAUGUGGGAGAGGUCACUGGAAUUCCUGGUGUAGCGGUGAAAUGCGUAGAGAUCAGGAGGAACACCAAUGGCGAAAGCAGGUGACUGGACCACUAUUGACACUCAUCCAUGAAAGCUAGGGGAGCAAACAGG
RNAcentral lists this ribosomal RNA (253 nucleotides) under uncultured bacterium. Its description in RNAcentral is "partial 16S ribosomal RNA". It matches the Rfam family "Bacterial small subunit ribosomal RNA", at positions 524 to 776 of the family's 1533-position model. The record is from RNAcentral.